GUGAUGGAAGGACUGAGAUUACAACUGAUGACUUACUACAAGCUGCUCAAAUAGAAGAGAGAGGAAUGCUAGAUAGGAAGGAAAGAAGCCCUGAAACAUGGAAGCAAGUAGCUAUUAAUGAAGCAGCCAUNNNNNNNNNNNGUGAACUUUCCAGAUCUUAAAAAUAUUGAGUUUGUCACUAUUGCUCCUAGAGCUGGCAGGGAACUUGGUUAUGUUAGAAUGAAAAUGGAUCAUGUCAAAUUUAAGGAGGGAAUGCUUAGUCGGCAAUCUCUCCUGGAUCAUAUCACUGUUCAACUGGCACCUCGUGCAGCCGAUGAGCUUUGGCAUGGUGAGGGUCAGUUGAGUACGAUAUGGGCAGAAACAGCAGACAAUGCUAGGUCAGCAGCACGAACUUAUGUUCUUGGUGGGCUUUCUGAGAAACAUUAUGGCCUUUUUGACUUCUGGGUUGCAGAUCGAAUCAAUGAAAUUGAUUUAGAGGCACUUCAGAUUGUAAACUUGUGUUAUGAGCGUGCUAAAGAGAUUCUGCAGCAGAACCGAAAGCUGAUGGAUGCUGUUGUUGAUCAACUAGUUCAGAAGAAAAGUUUGUCCAAACAAGAAUUUUUUAACCUGGUUGAGUUGCAUGGUUCUAUCAAACCUGUGCCACCAAGUAUAUUUGAUAUCAGGGAUGCCAAACGUGCACAGUUUCAAGAAAUAAUGAUGAAUCGGAAGGAAGCCACUACUGUGAGCAAUUUAUAAGAGAGAUGCCAAGAGACCCCUUUGGAUUUGCAAUGGGGGGAUUUUGGGAAGUAGAUUUUAUUUUGGGUGGCGGUGCAAAUUGCAGAUUAGGGCUGUAUCUCUGCAAAAUCAACUUUGGAUGACAAAUGUAAAUGUACCAAAGUCAUCAAUUACUGGUAAACUGGUGUAAUGGGCGUGGCGAGAGAUCGGAAUUGCAUAAGGGAUUUUUGAAAUGCUCUGACCUUAGAUGGGGUAUUUUGACGACUCCAAGAACCAUUUCAGCUUGGCUCUAAUCCA
RNAcentral lists this unclassified non-coding RNA (1011 nucleotides) under Hevea brasiliensis (rubber tree). The record is from RNAcentral. Lineage: Eukaryota; Viridiplantae; Streptophyta; Magnoliopsida; Malpighiales; Euphorbiaceae.